GACGAACGCUGGCGGCGUGCUUAACACAUGCAAGUCGAACGGAAGGGCCCUGCUUUUGUGGGGUGCUCGAGUGGCGAACGGGUGAGUAACACGUGAGUAACCUGCCCUUGACUUUGGGAUAACUUCAGGAAACUGUGGCUAAUACCGGAUAGGAGCUCCUGCUGCAUGGUGGGGGUUGGAAAGUUUCGGCGGUUGGGGAUGGGCUCGCGGCUUAUCAGCUUGUUGGUGGGGUAGUGGCUUACCAAGGCUUUGACGGGUAGCCGGCCUGAGAGGGUGACCGGCCACAUUGGGACUGAGAUACGGCCCAGACUCCUACGGGAGGCAGCGGUGGGGAAUAUUGCACGAUGGGCGGAAGCCUGAUGCAGCAACGCCGCGUGCGGGAUGACGGCCUUCGGGUUGUAAACCGCUUUCGCCUGUGACGAAGCGUGAGUGACGGUAAUGGGUAAAGAAGCACCGGCUAACUACGUG
Molecule: ribosomal RNA, 468 nt
Filed under: uncultured bacterium
Lineage: Bacteria
Description: partial 16S ribosomal RNA
Rfam family: Bacterial small subunit ribosomal RNA
Source: RNAcentral